RNAcentral lists this ribosomal RNA (559 nucleotides) under uncultured bacterium. RNAcentral describes it as "bacterial SSU rRNA". It matches the Rfam family "Bacterial small subunit ribosomal RNA", at positions 102 to 674 of the family's 1533-position model. The record is from RNAcentral.
ACGGGUGAGUAACGCGUGAGCAAUCUGCCUUUAAGAGGGGGAUAACACCGGGAAACCGGUGCUAAUACCGCAUAAGACCACGGUGUCGCAUGGCACAGGGGUAAAAGGAGCAAUCCGCUUAAAGAUGAGCUCGCGUCCCAUUAGCUAGUUGGUGAGGUAACGGCUCACCAAGGCUGCGAUGGGUAGCCGACCUGAGAGGGUGAUCGGCCACACUGGAACUGAGACACGGUCCAGACUCCUACGGGAGGCAGCAGUGGGGAAUAUUGGGCAAUGGAGGCAACUCUGACCCAGCAACGCCGCGUGAGGGAAGAAGGUUUUCGGAUUGUAAACCUCUGUCCUUGGGGACGAAGAAAGUGACGGUACCCAAGGAGGAAGCCCCGGCUAACUACGUGCCAGCAGCCGCGGUAAUACGUAGGGGGCGAGCGUUGUCCGGAAUUACUGGGCGUAAAGGGUGCGUAGGCGGUUCUUUAAGUCAGAUGUGAAAUCCCCGGGCUUAACUCGGGUGUUGCAUUUGAAACUGGGGGACUAGAGUGCAGGAGAGGGAAGCGGAAUUCCUAGU